UGCUGGAGUUUUUCAUGCUUCUCUGGACAGU
RNAcentral lists this non-coding RNA (31 nucleotides) under Mus musculus (house mouse). The record is from RNAcentral. Lineage: Eukaryota; Metazoa; Chordata; Mammalia; Rodentia; Muridae. RNAcentral also lists the same sequence under 1 other name.